CGUUAAUGAGUUAGGGGUCUUCCAGGCCCCGAUCUCCAACCCUUUGUAUAACUACCAUGUUGCUUUGGCGGGCCCGUCUUUCACCGGACCGCCGGGGGUCUUUCGAUCUCUGGCCAGUGCUCGUCAGUAGCCCUUAACAAACUCUUUUAACCAUGUUAAAUCUGAAAAAUAGUUAAAUAAACUAAAACUUUCAACAACGGAUCUCUUGGUUCUGGCAUCGAUGAAGAACGCAGCGAAAUGCGAUAAGUAAUGCGAAUUGCAGAAUUCAGUGAGUCAUCGAAUCUUUGAACGCACAUUGCGCCCUUUAGUAUUCUGAAGGGCAUGCCUGUUCGAGCGUCAUUAUCACUAAUCAAGCCCGGCUUGCUGUUGGACUUUUUGUCGUUAAAAGACAGGUCCUAAAGAUAAUGACGGCGUCAGUUGGACCCUAGAUGCAACGAGCUUUAACCAGCACGCAUUUUUAGUUGGCCCUUUUGACCCGGUCCUUUUUAACCAAUUUUUAAGGUUGACCUCGGAUCAGGUAGGAAUACCCGCUGAACUUAA
This 540-nucleotide ribosomal RNA is filed under the name uncultured fungus. RNAcentral describes it as "eukaryotic LSU rRNA". The stretch from base 186 to 339 matches the Rfam family "5.8S ribosomal RNA". Lineage: Eukaryota; Fungi. The record is from RNAcentral.